AGCUUUGCGCAGUGGCAGUACAAGUAGCCAAUGAGGUUUGUCUGAGGCGUGAUUGUUGCUAAUUGAAAAAUAACAACAACAACAAC
This 86-nucleotide small nuclear RNA is filed under the name Saimiri boliviensis boliviensis (Bolivian squirrel monkey). RNAcentral's name for it is "U4 spliceosomal RNA (ENSSBOG00000013692.1)". It matches the Rfam family "U4 spliceosomal RNA", at positions 1 to 85 of the family's 138-position model. From Rfam's summary of the family: U4 small nuclear RNA (U4 snRNA) is a component of the major U2-dependent spliceosome. The record is from RNAcentral. Lineage: Eukaryota; Metazoa; Chordata; Mammalia; Primates; Cebidae.